RNAcentral lists this non-coding RNA (26 nucleotides) under Cricetulus griseus (Chinese hamster). Lineage: Eukaryota; Metazoa; Chordata; Mammalia; Rodentia; Cricetidae. The record is from RNAcentral.
UGGUGAUGGAGCUACUAGGACCGAGC